Non-coding RNA from Pelobates cultripes (western spadefoot toad), 318 nucleotides. The record is from the annotation of a GenBank genome assembly. NCBI's taxonomy places the organism in Eukaryota, Metazoa, Chordata, Amphibia, Anura, Pelobatidae.
UAGUAUGUCUCUGAAGUAUUAAAAUUGAAGGCACAGUCGCAGUUUAGAAAUUGCACUUCAAAUUUGAGCUUUGCAGAGUGAAGUUUCAAUGAAAGUCAAUGGACGGCGUUAGUUGCAAACAAAUGAUUAUAUUGUGAAAACUAUCAGGACUAUGGCUAAGCCGUUGACAUGUUUAGUGGCAGGAGGGAUAGCUGAACGUUUUGAUAUAAGAUUUGUGUAGGUGGGCUUGGAAAUGAGGGAGUGGUGGCAGUUUAGAAAUCAUGUCCUGAUUUUUCAGCUUUUGCCAGCUCCCACUCUAGCUUUGCCAUUCAUUCCCAU